CUUCCUCAAGGGCAGUGGGGUCUUCUACUUUAUCUUUGUGUCCCCAGCACCCAGAUCAGUGCCUGAGACAGAAUCAGCCCUCUGCUGACGCUGGAGUGGAAUGAAGCCAUGCCCAUACCACGUCCCAAGGAGAGCAGUGAGGAGACCUCCCGGAGGUCUGGACGGGGUAGGGUAUGGACUGGGAGGAGUGACAGGGAAGCCAGACAUCACAGAGCAGACCACCUGACCAAAGAAUGAGCACACAGUUGCGGGGAGUGGUGCAGAUAAGGGAACCCCGCCCCUCUGCCACAAGGCUAGUCUGUCAGGUCAGCCAAAUCCACUGAAGCCAUACUGGAAGAACCUUGUGACCCUCUCACAAGAGGUAAGAGUUGAACUGAUGCCCGGCACACUCCCCGGAGAGCUGAGCCCCCACAAGUUGGGAGUGGGGCAGGCAGAGGGGUGAUGCCUGCCUGGUGCCAGCCUUGAAGAAACCCCGUGGCUCCUGACAGAAGGGCAGAACCUGAUACCUGGGUUUGACUAAGAGCAAAAAAGAGCAGGUGCUCUGGGCAGGUUUCAGUUUGGGGGUGGGGAGAGGAUGGAGAGAAAACAGGGGAGGAAGUUCUAGAUUUGGGGUCUCUCAGGAAAUCCCCGCAGACCCACCACAUCAGCCUCGCAGGGAGGGAGUCUCCUGCCCCAGGCACAGACAUUCCUGUCACCUCCUGGGGAGGCCUCCUCUGCCCCCUGCCGAGAGAGCUCUUUGAAUCCCCAGGGCACCUUGUCUGUAAGCAUUUUAUGGCUCUAACGGCUUUCUGCCUUUGGUUGCAGGCAUUUGCACUCCUGUCUCCUCUUCCUUAAGGAACCAAUGUGGGGUGGGGGGGGCCUUAUUAUUCUGCGUCCCUCUCAGCAGCUCCCACAGCGCCCAGUGCCUGGCAUGUGCUCCACAGACACACGAAGAAAUGAAGGCGGGUACAGGAGAGGAAGGGGACAAGAGGACAGAGGAAGGUCAGAAUGGCCUGCUUCACCAAUUGCCCCCUGCCCUGCCAUCCACCGCCAACUCCAGGCCCCACGAUGGCCCACCAGGGCACCAGACCAUGUGCAAGGUGGGCAGCAGGCUGGGUUUCAGGCAGAGCGGAGGCCCGCUGGGCUCCUCGAGGUCUGGCCUCGCCUCAGGCCUCCGCCCAGGUGGGAAGCACUCCUGCAGCCAUUGCAUCUGCACGGCCAUAAUUGAGCCUCUCUCUCUAGAGUGAUUUGUGUGUCAAAAAUACGCCAAGACUGUAAAUCAGGUGGUAGGAAGCUCUGUCUCCUGUUUUGCUGCUCAACCAAAGGGAGACAGACUGUACUGCCACGGGCUCCCAGAUCUGGAAAACCACAUCUGAUUUCAGAGGAGGUUUUUAACAGGCAUUAACAGGGGCCAGUGCUGGGGAGCAGGGCUCCCAGCUCUCCCUCCCUGGCCCAGCCACCUCCUCCCAGCUGGGGGGCUUAGCCGGCGGGGGACCUGAAAGCCAGGUGCCUAACAAACCCUGGUGUUCAAUAGCAGCUGCUCCAGCUCCUCCCCAGGAGGCUCCGGAGGGGAAUUUUCCACUGCCCAGUUCCAUUUAGCUCUGCCUGCCUGUGCUGCUGCCUUGACUCUUCCCAGUGAGAGCAGGAAGGUGGGGACCGGCACAGAGUCUCCCCAUCCAAAGGGGCUGCCACCGGCCAGAGGUGUCCGUGGGAGGCGGGUGGGACAGAGGAGUAGGUGUUGUUUGUUUCCUGUGCCCUGGCCCUACCUCACUAUUCUCUGAACCUGGAACGCUGGGUGUGUGGAGGUGCUGUGAGUGGGAACCAGGCCACCUUUUGAGUAGGGAGGAGAGAAUCAAGGCCCUGGUUGCAGGGAGUGGGGACAGAAGGCGAUAAGUCUCCCCCUCCCCGUGUCCCUCCCUUUCUCAGGAUGUCUGAGAGAUGCCCAGCGUGGGUGGGUGCUCCCUCCCCCCUGCCUCCGCUCCUCCUCCUCCCCGGAACUGCCGCCUCCUCCGCCUGAGUGGCUGAUGCCCUCUGGGUUCUGUUUUCAUUCCAGGCUGUGGAUCCGGUCGUGGGAAGCAGGUAGGAAACCAUGAUUCUGGGGGUUAAAUGAAGAAUUAUAUUUAGUGCUCACAGAAAGCCAAAUAUUGGGUUAGCAGCCAGGAAUGGAGAGGGAAAAAACCCAAAGCAAACAGCAGAGGAAAGAAAUUCCUACCAAACAAGGUCCCUAUUCAUUCUUCCAGUCCCAGGUGCAGGGGCCUGCAGGGGUGAGACCUGCCGAAUGUACGUAGCCCCUCCUGUGCUCAUGGCUGUGGAGACACAAGGAGCAUGCAGACCCGGACUUUGAUGAGACCCCAAACUCAGAUCCUGCAUUGCCUGUCCCCAAGGGGCCAAGGGACUCUCAGCCCUCAGCCCAAAGGCUGUCGAUAUCUCUACUGGCAAGAGUACCCCAGAGCUCACUACGUUGGUUGGUCCUAAAGCCUUUGGGAGCCAGAGGUGGGAUGGGGAGGAGGAGCAAAGUGAAAGGUUCCUGGUUUGACCUUGAAUAAGUGAUUUAAUCUCCCUGGGCCUCAUGUAUGGAGUGCAGGGGUUGGAUUAUGGUUUCACAGGUGUAACAUCCUGUUAUUCUGUGUCUGCCUAAAACAAAUAAGAGUGUGAGCAAGGUUAUGACAGCAGUACCCAUCUGUUACUGUGAGCGUUGAAGGUGAGGCCUGGAGAGAUAAAGCCAUGUGCUUCAGCUCGUUCUCCCCCUCAGCUUUCUGUGCCUCAGCCCUCCACAGAGAAGACUGCUAGGCCUGAGCUGACUCCCCUGGAAACCCCAGACUCCAGUGACGUGCUUCUGGAACCUGCUCAGACAAAGUUAGGUAAGAGCCUGGGCAGUGGGUGGGUUGCAACACCCAGCCUGGCUGACCAGAAAGCUGAAGAGGACUGGAAGUUCAAGAAGAAGUAGAGAGGAGGUGGAGAGAGAGAAAGGGCAGAAGGAGGAGACAUCGAAGACCUCCCGAACAUCUUCUGUGGGAUCUCAGAGAAGGCAAAGCUCACCCUCCUGACUCCAGGACUCAUUUGUGUCCAGCCACUGAAUUAUCUACUUGUUACCCCUCCUGUGGAUCUCUCCCGAGGGAAAGAUCUACCUUGGAAGGCUGGUAAUAAAAGAUGUGGAGCUGAGCCACCUUUGGCCACGUAGAUGAAGACACCUUAGAAGAUGGCAGAGACACAAAAUGGAAAAGCCCUGGGUCUCCAUAAGAUGACAUGGUGGACAUCUGCCCUGCCAGUCUGGACCAUUCAUUUCCAGACUAUGAGUGAGAAAUAUGCUUCCAUCUUAUUUAAGCAACUGUAUUUGGGUGGGUUUUUUUGGUUUUUUUUGUGGUUGUUGUUGUUGUUAUCGGAGCUUAGUUUUUACUCUAACAAAUACAGCUACCCAACUCACUUUAUGAGAAUCUUAACUUUAAUACCAAAACUCAAUAAGCACACAGUAUGCCAAAAAAAUUGUAGAGCAAUAUCAUUUAUGAUCAUAAAUGCAGGGCUUCUAAAUAAAAUACUAGCAAAUUAAAUUCAGGGAACUAAAUUUAUAAAAUCAAGCAUGACCUAGUUGUGUUUAUCUCAAUAAUUCAAGAAUGGAAUGGCUCAACAUAAAAUCUAUUAAAGUACACUACUUUAACAGAUUAAAGGGAAAAAACCCACUUAAUCAACAGAAUAGUGAUUCAAUCAAUCAGAAAAAAUAUUUGCUAAAAUUCAACACUCAUACAAUUGGGUGUGUAAAC
RNAcentral lists this long non-coding RNA (3737 nucleotides) under Equus caballus (horse). RNAcentral's name for it is "lncRNA (ENSECAG00000043272.2)". The record is from RNAcentral. Lineage: Eukaryota; Metazoa; Chordata; Mammalia; Perissodactyla; Equidae.